RNAcentral lists this ribosomal RNA (431 nucleotides) under Stenotrophomonas maltophilia. RNAcentral's name for it is "partial 23S ribosomal RNA". It matches the Rfam family "Bacterial large subunit ribosomal RNA", at positions 1 to 485 of the family's 2925-position model. Lineage: Bacteria; Pseudomonadati; Pseudomonadota; Gammaproteobacteria; Lysobacterales; Lysobacteraceae. The record is from RNAcentral.
GGUCAAGCGAAUAAGCGCACACGGUGGAUGCCUUGGCGGUCAGAGGCGAUGAAGGACGUGGCAGCCUGCGAAAAGUAUCGGGGAGCUGGCAACAAGCUUUGAUCCGGUAAUGUCCGAAUGGGGAAACCCACCCGCUUGCGGGUAUCCUGCAGUGAAUACAUAGCUGCUGGAAGCGAACCUGGUGAACUGAAAUAUCUAAGUAACCAGAGGAAAAGAAAUCAACCGAGAUUCCGUAAGUAGCGACGAGCGAACGCGGACUAGCCCUUAAGCUGAUUUGGUUCUAGGAAAACGCUCUGGAAAGAGCGGCCAUAGAAGGUGAUAGCCCUGUAUCUGAAAGGGCCAUUUCAGUGAAGACGAGUAGGGCGGGGCACGUGAAACCCUGUCUGAACAUGGGGGGACCAUCCUCCAAGGCUAAAUACUACUGACCGACC